This is a long non-coding RNA of Sinocyclocheilus rhinocerous, 411 nucleotides long. RefSeq lists it as uncharacterized. The record is from RefSeq and is a predicted model, not a curated record. The transcript has 3 exons. Lineage: Eukaryota; Metazoa; Chordata; Actinopteri; Cypriniformes; Cyprinidae.
UGUUUUAUUGUUCUUUAUUGUUUACAAUAAUUGCCCAAUAUGCCAAGUAAUAUUUAGGCCCAUUUCAAACUUAUCAUGCAAUCGGAAACAUAAAAACAAAGUCAGCAUAUUGGGCAAUUAUUGUAAUGCAUAUGGCUGCACAUUACAUUCUCAUUUUAUUCAUAUCAGUACUAAUUAUAAGUAUUACAUAAAAAUAUAUACAUAGACACAACUUUGCUAUUACAUUUCUAAAUUGUAAAAGCUCACUUUUUUUAUUUAGUCUUAAGCUAAAAAGGUCUCAUUGUUUCUAUUAUGAAACUUAACCAGAGUUAAGGGUUUUACACCUUUCACUUGUUUGUAAAACACUUCGAGCCACUACUUGUAUGAAGAUGCUCUAUAAAAUGUAUGUAUUAAUACUAUUAAAAACAUUCA